RNAcentral lists this ribosomal RNA (644 nucleotides) under Staphylococcus aureus. RNAcentral describes it as "bacterial SSU rRNA". It matches the Rfam family "Bacterial small subunit ribosomal RNA", at positions 1 to 627 of the family's 1533-position model. The record is from RNAcentral. Lineage: Bacteria; Bacillati; Bacillota; Bacilli; Caryophanales; Staphylococcaceae.
UUUAUGGAGAGUUUGAUCCUGGCUCAGGAUGAACGCUGGCGGCGUGCCUAAUACAUGCAAGUCGAGCGAACGGACGAGAAGCUUGCUUCUCUGAUGUUAGCGGCGGACGGGUGAGUAACACGUGGAUAACCUACCUAUAAGACUGGGAUAACUUCGGGAAACCGGAGCUAAUACCGGAUAAUAUUUUGAACCGCAUGGUUCAAAAGUGAAAGACGGUCUUGCUGUCACUUAUAGAUGGAUCCGCGCUGCAUUAGCUAGUUGGUAAGGUAACGGCUUACCAAGGCAACGAUGCAUAGCCGACCUGAGAGGGUGAUCGGCCACACUGGAACUGAGACACGGUCCAGACUCCUACGGGAGGCAGCAGUAGGGAAUCUUCCGCAAUGGGCGAAAGCCUGACGGAGCAACGCCGCGUGAGUGAUGAAGGUCUUCGGAUCGUAAAACUCUGUUAUUAGGGAAGAACAUAUGUGUAAGUAACUGUGCACAUCUUGACGGUACCUAAUCAGAAAGCCACGGCUAACUACGUGCCAGCAGCCGCGGUAAUACGUAGGUGGCAAGCGUUAUCCGGAAUUAUUGGGCGUAAAGCGCGCGUAGGCGGUUUUUUAAGUCUGAUGUGAAAGCCCACGGCUCAACCGUGGAGGGUCAUU